UGACAUUCUACAGUUCCAUGAGUAAAAGAAAUAGAAGUAAAGAAAAAGGUGUCCGGUGCCUGGGCAGGAGCAUCACCUGGAAGCUUAUGGCGUUCUUUUUGGAGGGCCGAUUGAAUGUGAUCGUUGUGAUGCCAUCUUCAGACGUUACCAGGAUGUCCUUAGACUCCUGGGCUUUUUUAUCAGCUCCACCCUUUCCCUGGCUCGAGGUUUCAGAUGAACUCAAACUGGAUUUGAGGUCCAUGGCAGUUUCCUGAGGAGUAAGUGACAAAGACCUUCAAUCUUCAAAACAAGUAAUUUGAGAAGCAUAGUAUGCUAAUAAAAACAGCUAUGCAGCCAAAA
Molecule: long non-coding RNA, 339 nt
Filed under: Rattus norvegicus (Norway rat)
Lineage: Eukaryota; Metazoa; Chordata; Mammalia; Rodentia; Muridae
Description: long non-coding RNA NONRATT012914
Source: RNAcentral